AUAUUUUUUUAACUCUCGUUUCUGUCAUUACAGGUCAAGCCCAAACCUAACCCAGCUAGCGUACAAGGACUUCUGAGAGACUUAAUGUUGACAGUUAUUUCAUUGAUUUAAGGUAAUUCUUUCGGUAGUAUUGACUGCUGCUGGGGUUAUGAUUGCAGCGCUGGGAGAUUUUUCUUUUGACCUUGUUGGAUAUAGCAUGGCCUUUACUUCUGUUUUCUUCCAGACCAUGUACCUUGUGUUGGUGGAGAAGUCUGGUGCAGAGGACGGACUUUCAUCAGUUGAGAUCAUGUUCUAUAACAGCUUUUUGUCUUUACCAUUUCUGGUAUUUCUUAUCAUAGCUACAGGAGAGUUUCCAGAUUCUUUGUCAUUGUUAUUUGCAAAGGUCAGGAUCUUAACCUAUGUUCACUAUGUUUUAAUACUGUUCUUGAAUGUGUUGGAAAGCAGAAAUCUUUGUUUUUAAUGCUUAGGCAAGGAA
Non-coding RNA from Camellia sinensis, 475 nucleotides. Lineage: Eukaryota; Viridiplantae; Streptophyta; Magnoliopsida; Ericales; Theaceae. The record is from RefSeq and is a predicted model, not a curated record.